GGCGAGAUAGCUCAGUCGGUUAGAGCGCAUGAUUCAUAAUCAUGAGGUCGGGGGAUCAUAGCCCCCUCUCGCUA
RNAcentral lists this transfer RNA (74 nucleotides) under Tannerella sp. Its description in RNAcentral is "tRNA-Met". It matches the Rfam family "tRNA". From Rfam's summary of the family: Transfer RNA (tRNA) molecules are approximately 80 nucleotides in length. Their secondary structure includes four short double-helical elements and three loops (D, anti-codon, and T loops). Further hydrogen bonds mediate the characteristic L-shaped molecular structure. tRNAs have two regions of fundamental functional importance: the anti-codon, which is responsible for specific mRNA codon recognition, and the 3' end, to which the tRNAs corresponding amino acid is attached (by aminoacyl-tRNA synthetases). tRNAs cope with the degeneracy of the genetic code in two manners: having more than one tRNA (with a specific anti-codon) for a particular amino acid; and 'wobble' base-pairing, i.e. permitting non-standard base-pairing at the 3rd anti-codon position. Lineage: Bacteria; Pseudomonadati; Bacteroidota; Bacteroidia; Bacteroidales; Tannerellaceae. The record is from RNAcentral.